ACUCUGCGGCUGGAUCACCUCCUUAUCACGAAUUCUGGAUCCGAUACGUAACGCGUCUGCAGCAUGCGUGGUACCGAGCUUUCCCUAUAGUGAGUCGUAUUAGAGCUUGGCGUAAUCAUGGUCAUAGCUGUUUCCUGUGUGAAAUUGUUAUCCGCUCACAAUUCCACACAACAUACGAGCCGGAAGCAUAAAGUGUAAAGCCUGGGGUGCCUAAUGAGUGAGCUAACUCACAUUAAUUGCGUUGCGCUCACUGCCCGCUUUCCAGUCGGGAAACCUGUCGUGCCAGCUGCAUUAAUGAAUCGGCCAACGCGCGGGGAGAGGCGGUUUGCGUAUUGGGCGCUCUUCCGCUUCCUCGCUCACUGACUCGCUGCGCUCGGUCGUUCGGCUGCGGCGAGCGGUAUCAGCUCACUCAAAGGCGGUAAUACGGUUAUCCACAGAAUCAGGGGAUAACGC
RNAcentral lists this ribosomal RNA (453 nucleotides) under uncultured bacterium. RNAcentral's name for it is "partial 16S ribosomal RNA". The record is from RNAcentral.